Molecule: ribosomal RNA, 252 nt
Filed under: uncultured bacterium
Lineage: Bacteria
Description: partial 16S ribosomal RNA
Rfam family: Bacterial small subunit ribosomal RNA
Source: RNAcentral
UACGGAGGGGACUAGCGUUGUUCGGAAUUACUGGGCGUAAAGCGCACGUAGGCGGAUUUGUAAGUCAGGGGUGAAAUCCCGAGGCUCAACCUCGGAACUGCCUUUGAUACUGCAAAUCUCGAGUCCGGAAGAGGUGAGUGGAAUUCCUAGUGUAGAGGUGAAAUUCGUAGAUAUUAGGAAGAAUACCAGGGGCGAAGGCGGCUCCCUGGUCCGGUACUGACGCUGAGGUGCGAAAGCGUGGGAGCGAACAGG